AGUCGAAGUUUAUCCAUUCCUUUUACCUUCGGGAUAAAAGCAAUAUCUGUGGGCCCCUCGAUGAUUUGAUGAUGACGAAUGGAAGUGCUCGGCCGGGCCAGGACUGAUUUGAUUUGUUUAAUUAGUCAGUCGUCAUAAAUCGGAAAUCGGAAAACAACAAAUGGACAGAGAGAAUGAUUAUAAUCCAUGUCUCAGUCCAUAUGAUAUCUAGAAUGGAGGAAUAUAUGAUCCCUUAUCUAAUGGACAAGUCAUUGACAAAGGUCAGAGUUCAUCGACAAGGUCAGAGUUCGACAGAAGCUUUUGAGAGCUACGAUUGCCAGUUGGUUCCUGAAGUCAUACGCAAUAAUAGUUUUAGACUUAUCCAAGUGGGAGACUGUUGGAUUAAUGUCUAAGUCCAUAACUAUAAUUGGUAAGACUUGACCCGACCCGGCAUGGUCCAUUUGGGUUGCAUACCAUCAUGCACUUGGAUAGACUAUAAUGAGAGAAAUAAGACACUUAUGGUUAUUAAUAUAUUAUAAGUUCUAGUAUAUUAAUAAUAAGAAUAAUAAGAUUAUUUAAUUAGUAUUGAUCAAGAAUUGAUCUAGGAUUAAUUAAGUGAUCAAAAGAAGACUAAUUAAAUAUAUGGGUUGAUUGUGUAAAUCAUCCAUACUUGUAUAGUGGGCUAAUGCUCCAUGGAUAAUCAAGUUGGGCUAAAACCCAUAGGAUGGUCCAUGGAUGCUCCAUGGUGUAUUUGUACCCAUGGAUCCAAGGAAAUGGAAAGCCAUGACAAUUAAGAGUUUACCCUAAUUGUGUAACUAUAUAAGCAUCUUAUUAUUGAGGAAAAAUCGGCCACUAGUAGUAUUCAAGAAAGGGCUAGCCGAUUUUGGUGAGUGUAGAAUUCUCUCAAGUCAUUCUAAGUGUUUUGAUGAUUGUGAUUCCAUUUGAGGUGUCACACUUGGGGCACUAAGCACUCAAGCUUCAUGAAGACUUUCUACAUCAAGAGGUAUGUAUUCUAUCUUGUUACAUUAUUGUUUUGUAUGCUAGAUUAGGAUAAUACCUUGGAAGUUCUUAUUUGCAUGUAUAAUAGAGAAAACAUAGAUCCAAGGUAUUUAGGGUUGCAUGUACACUUAGGAAGUGUUAGAAUGCUCAAAACCCAACAGUGGUAUCAGAGCCACGGGUUGUUUUCUGUUAUAUUGAUGCAAAUAUUUUAUUUUCAAAGUUGAAAAAAAAAAAAAAAAAAAACAUGAAGUUUGUCAAAUUUUAAGAUAAUUACUUGUUCUUGUGAAAAACUAAUUAUUUGUAAAAUUUGAAUAAUUUGCUUUAUGAGUUGAAUUAGGUCAAAUUUAAUAAAAGAUAAAAUAAUAUGAUUAUUUUAUUAGUUUUAAAAGUUUGAUCUAAAGAGUUUUAUUUUUUGAAACCUCCAUAAGUUAUGGAUAUGAAAAGGUUUUAAAAAAAAAAUUGAUUCAAAGUUUUUUUGGAGUUACAAAAUUUGGUGUUAAUGUUUUAAAGGAUUCCAUAACUUAAGAAUAAGUUAUGGAUCACCAAAAGUUUUUUGUGUUACCUUGUUUUAUGAGUGAAUUUAGAUUAAUGAAUAAAAUUAUGUGAUAGUUGGUUUUAAUCCAAAUUAAUCUAAGAAUUGAUUCUAAAAUGUGUUUUUGUAACUUGUCCUCAAGUUAUAUGAAAAGUCACAUUUAAGAAUCAUAAAACUCAUAAAAAUUGGCAAAGGUUACAAAAAUGAAGAGUCUAGUUCUAAUUAAAUGGUUUUAUGACUCCAUAACUUGUCCUCAAGUUAUGGAGGACCAAGAGUCUCUUCAUUUAAUAAAAUAAAAUAAAAAAAAAAAAAGUGUAACCUUAAUUAAUUCCAUAAGUUAUAAAAUAAAGAAAAGUUAAUUCUUUUAUUAGUUUAAAGUCUUCCAUAACUUGUCCUCAAGUUAUGGAACUUGAAGAGUUUUUGGAUUAAAACUACUUUAAACACAUAAGUUAUGGAAUUAAUUAGUUUUGAAUAGUUUCAAAACUUGCCCUCAAGUUUUGGAAUUUGUAAAGUUUUCACUUAUGAAUACUUUAAUUCCAAGUUAGCCCUUAGAAUUUUAAAAGUUAAAAUUCAACCCUUAUACUUUAUAAUAUUAUAAGUUAAUAAUAUAUAUAUGUAUAAGAGUAAAGUCAGUCUUACCGCUAGUACGCCUCAUUCACGAAGCCGGUCUAUAAGGUGGGUAUAAGGUUGUUGCCUAUAAAAUGGCAACUUAAUGGGUGUCCACUCUCACCCACCGCUUGCUUGACUGGUGGAGGGUCGUUAGCCGAACGGGUUUGACAGGACUAGAAUUCUCCCUUCAUUAAAAGUAUUAAUGAUAAUACUAAGUAACUAAACUCUUAAUAAUACCCAAUCUUAGUUACUUAGGAAAAAUGUGAAUAAGGUGCUAACCCAUGAAAUUACACUUUACACUUUGUCUAAGUCGUUAGUGGAGCGUGUGUGGUUAACCGGCACACUAACUUGGACUUAACAAGGUAGGUAAAGGGUGACUUAAUAUUUAUCAUAGUAUCGAUGGAGCGUGUGUGGUUAACCGGCACAUCGAUUGAGGGGUAAUUUAUUAAGGGUACCAAGUGAUUUGCAUGGUUACUUCACACCUUGUUUUGUGAUCCUCGGCAUCCCAGUCACAAAACCUGAAGGGCACACUCGAGAUUGAAACAUGCCUUUGAACAGUUCAAUGAAUCUCAAAGAUCUAGGAGUUUCAAAACCAAUUAAAACCUAAUAAUACAUUUCGUUUAUCUUGGUGGAAAUUGGUGAAUCGUCAUUCACCUACCUUCAAAUAUUUUAUAGCUUGGAUUACGGCAUACCUCUUCUAAGUUAUAAAAUAGUUUGUUGGGUCCUAGCCUUAAUAUUUCAUAUUGGGUGUCAUAUUAAGGACUUUAAAUCAACUAUCUUGAAUAUCUCCCAAAAGAUGUCUGUAAUAGACACCUAUGAUCUUCCCAAAUCUAGUGAAACAAGGUUUCCUAAAUGAAGAUGAUGUUCCUCAGAAAUCAUACUUCUUUCACCUCUUCAAAUUAUUCUACCUAACCCACAAGUUCUUGAAAAGUUUAAGGUCACUCAAUACCUAUUGGCAAGGCAAUGUCUAGGUGUGGUCACAUCUUGGAGGUGUUUCCACAUAUUGACAAGCCGGGAGAGUUGGGUGUCAAAGUCUUGAGAAAGUUGGUGGUUCAAUCACUUUCUAAGUCACAUAGUGAGUUCCUUUGGGACACCUAUGAAACAGACUAUGACAAGACCCUUAAUGAUCUUAUCUAUUUGCUAAGAUCAACUUCCUAAAACUUUAUGGACAUUGACAAUGAUGACAUUGGAUAUCCAGUAAAGCAUUCUCUUCCCAAUGGAAAGGGAUCGGCCAUAGUCAACUCGGUUGACCAAAUGGUAAAGAGAAAAGCUAAGUCUGUGAUAGUCUCGUGUACCAUUAUCAAAGGGUCCAUAUGUUUAUAUUGCCAAAGGAAGGGGCAUUGGUUGCGAAGCUGCCAAAUUUACCUAAGGAUGUUAAAGUCAAUAAGUUUGACUCUACUUCAGGUAAAGUCCACUAUCUAACUCUGUUAAGUUUCUAUUCUGAGAUUCCUGAUACAUGAUGUGACUGGGUCACAUGGUGAUGUUUUAAGAAUCAAAGAAAAGUGAAGAAACUUAAAGAAAGAAUAUGCUGAAUCUGAUGGCGUAGAUGGAUUUCUAUCGCAUAGUUUGAAGAUCGGAUUCUUGAGCAACUUCUUAGGAGUUAUGAGAUAUUGCUUAGGAAUAGAUAACAACAAGUUUUCAUAUGGAUUGUAAGGAUAAGUUUUUCCGCAAAGUUUUAAAAUAAAAGAAAAUUUUUGAUUUUAUUUAUUUUAAAAUAUCCUUACAAUGGCAUUUGAGGAAAAAUUGUUGCUUAUAUGAUUCCAUUAAUAGCAAGAGUGGAAAUAUGAAAUUGAUUCUUUCAUUUGUGGUAAUGUCUAGAUUUACCAAAUAAGGAAAGAUUCUCAUCACCCAAGUUUCAAUUGGACCGGAACUUGGAAUCAUGCAAGUUGUAUAGCAUGAUGAAUGAGAACUUUCAAGUUUUGGAAAAUUAAGACUAAUUACUCGGCCACAUGGAUGUGUGAGUCAAGUAAAGGACUAAGGGAUCGAGUACACAUUCUUGUGCACUGAUUAAGUCCACCACAAAAGAUUGAUAAGACUAUUCGUCAUAGUUUACUAAAGCUCAGUAAAUAUGAUUAUACUUACAAGCUUAAGUGUAACUCUGAGACAUUGGAAAAGGUUCCAAUGUAUGGCAGAGCGAAUAAGAAGAAUCAAAUUAGGCAGAAGGAUAAAAGUUUCUCAAAUCUGAAAAGAUGGGAGAGUACUUUAGUAUCAGUUUUGUGAUCAUCUUAAUGAUUAAGAAACCAUAUCAAAAUUAGUUCUCUAAGGAAAUCUUAGUGCAUUCUUAUGACUAAGAAGAGGAACUUGAAUUGUUGAAAUGGUUAAAUCAAGAAGAUGAGUCAUACUUCGUUCCAAUACAAGUCUUAGAGUCAUACUCCAAGAUUGUAACUUGAGUGACAUGUCUUAAAGAAGGUUUAAAACACUUGUCAAAUGUAAGAGUAAAAGUUUUCUACUCUUGUACAUUUGAAAUUGGUAAGUUGUGAUGUUUUGGAUAAAACAAAGACCAACUUAGGCCAAUUGUGUGAAGUGUUUGUCUUGAUUAGAAUCCACACUAUCUCUUGGAUAUUUGACAAGGGAGUCUUAUAGGUCAAGAGGUCAGUGGGAGUCUUAAAGGUCUUGAAAGUCUCAAGAACUAAUCAAGAAUAAAACCUAAAGUUCUUCACUAGCACACAACUUGAGGUUCAUAACCUAUCGUGUUGACAUAUUCUGUGCCCAUUCCAGUUAAAGUUGGCUUUGCAUAUGAGUUCUUAGAGUUCUCAAUUUGUUGCACAACAACUUGGAAGCAAUGGUAGGCCCUUGAGCUGCCAGGUGGCAAGAAAUUAAGAUUGAGUUCAGUCCAUAUGAGUUUGGAUUUGUCAUUAUCCUUGUCUUGUGACUAUGGUUUUGACAAUUCACAUGGAUAAGAACACAUACACCAUUAAAUCUAAGUGUCAUAAGGUUUCUCUCCGAUUCAUGAAAAUGAUGGUGAGGAAACACUUUCACUAAGUAGAUUUUAGCUAGAUAGCAAUUGUGAUAUUUGCAUUCUCAAAGUCGUUAGUGGAGCGCGUGUGGUUAACCGGCACACUAAUUUGGACUUGUGAGAAGUGGCAAAAAGGUCUAAACAUUAUGAUUACGGCAUCCCUCUUCAUAAUUGUUUAGAUACACAAGUGUGCUAUCUAAGGGAAGGUGUAUGAUUUUGAUAAAGUUUUAUCAAAACAAUCUAGCAUCAGAAAUCUGAACUUUGGUAAGAAAGUCAAUGAAGUAUUGAUUUCUAGAAGUCCAGCUGAUUUCUGAGUACAUGUCAAAGCUAGUGGGAGCAUAAGUGUUAUGCUAAUAAUCAUCAUGUUAGUGGGAGCAUGAUAAUUAUGAUAAGUAUUGCAAGUUAGCAAUGUUAAUUAUAGAAAACAAAAGUUUCAAUUUGGAAAAAGUUGUUUUGCUAUAAUUAAGGGAGAGGAAAUUAUACUUCAUCUCAAAUCUAUAAGCUUAGAUCGUGAGGUUUUAAUCAUUUAGUCAAGGAUAUAUAUGAAUUUCAUGUUGGAAUGGCUCAACAUAAGGAAAUUCUGUAUAUGGGUCCAUUAUUUGCGUUCUAAAAUUCGAUUAUGAUUACGGCAUCCCUUUUCAUAAUCUGAAUUAUGAGAACUUGGCAAAUUGAAAUGGAAAUGUUAUAGCAAAAGACUGGUUUAGUCUUUAUGUGAGACAUCAUGAAUCGUGUCCCAUAUGCUUCGGAUAUAGGAUCGAUUACAUGUGCUAUAUUCAUCCGUUCUAAAAUUUUCCAAAUGCCUGGGGCAUUAAGAAGGGAAAAGGUUUAGAACUGGAUAUGACUAAAAGGAUUAAACAAUUGUCGAGGACAAUCUAAGGUUUACCAAAGAUUGGUUGCUCAAGGACAGUUGGAAGUAUAGUGAUAAUUCUGGAAGGACCAUAUUGACAUAAUCUGUAAGGAGGCAACUCUUGUUCAGAAGUGAUAGUCAAAAUGGAAUCUGGAAAUGUUUCAAAGUUAGAAUUUUCAAUCUGUUUAAGAUUAGGAAACUUAAUGCAAGAAGGAUGUUUCCAAGGAGCUGAUCUCCUUUGGAAUACUCUGUAAUGAUUGUUGUCAAGUCUUUCUGACUUUGUGCAUAAUCAUUACAAGAGGAUCAAUGCAUAUAAGUUUAGAAUCUAACAGAUUUCAGUAAAUGGCAUGAAUUUGGAAUUCUUGCAUUUGCAGUAAGGAUUUGGGAGUGUGAAAAGAGAAUCAUUGAAGUUAUGUUCAAUUGAUCUAGUUCACAAAGUAAAGAUCAUAGACAAACAUAGUAUGCAUACUUGGUGUGUGGCAUGACUAGUGUUUAAGAAAACAUAGUGUACAUGCUUGGAGCAUGGGACAACUAUUGUUUUAAAUUCAAGAAUAAAGUUGAUAGCUGAAACAGUAUACAAUGAAUAAUGUGUAAUCAUAUGGUGAUAAAUAAAAGGUGUUUUAUUUAUGUUCAUAAGUUUUGAUACCAUAUUGGAUUCAAUUAUUAUUGUGUUUCACUUUGCAUGUUUUGACUUCCCGAAUAAACUAGGUUAUUCUUCCGGAAUGACUAAGUUAUUCAAACCAUCCACAGUCGGUCAUAUGUUGGAAGUAGAUAUGAAUUAAGACUGUCAUGGGUUGGCUUGUAGAGGUCUAAGGUGUUGGACAAAGGGCUACAACACUCAUGAGUGCUCAUAAGUUCUGAGUAUUGGAUUCAACCCGCGCUCAUUGGAAUCACUUCAUGGAUUUUAUCACGAGUGAUCAUGAGACGAUAAUAUCUUAUAUUCUUCAAACCUAGAGAUAUGAGUUGUUACUAUGAGUUGAUAGUACAUUGAUUGCACGAAAACGCAUUUGGUAACUCGGUGCUAUAAAACGUGCCUUUGUGUAUGAUUCAACAAGUAGUAGAACAAGCCAUAUGAGUCGAAGUUUAUCCGUUCCUUUUACCUUCGGGAUAAAAGCGAUAUCUGUGGGCCCCUCGAUGAUUUGAUGAUGACAAAUGGAAGUGCUCGGCCGGGCCAGGACUGAUUUGAUUUGUUCAAUUAGUCAGUCGUCAUAAAUCGGAAAUCGGGAAACAACAAAUGGACAGAGAGAAUGAUUAUAAUCCAUGUCUCAGUCCAUAUGAUAUCUAGAAUGGAGGAAUAUAUGAUCCCUUAUCUAAUGGACAAGUCAUUGACAAAGGUCAGAGUUCAUCU
Molecule: long non-coding RNA, 7270 nt
Filed under: Lactuca sativa (garden lettuce)
Lineage: Eukaryota; Viridiplantae; Streptophyta; Magnoliopsida; Asterales; Asteraceae
Description: long non-coding RNA (LSAT_LNC006718)
Source: RNAcentral